This 455-nucleotide ribosomal RNA is filed under the name Staphylococcus sp. RNAcentral describes it as "bacterial SSU rRNA". It matches the Rfam family "Bacterial small subunit ribosomal RNA", at positions 70 to 508 of the family's 1533-position model. Lineage: Bacteria; Bacillati; Bacillota; Bacilli; Caryophanales; Staphylococcaceae. RNAcentral also lists the same sequence under 1 other name. The record is from RNAcentral.
CAGAUAAGGAGCUUGCUCCUUUGACGUUAGCGGCGGACGGGUGAGUAACACGUGGAUAACCUACCUAUAAGACUGGGAUAACUUCGGGAAACCGGAGCUAAUACCGGAUAACAUAUUGAACCGCAUGGUUCAAUAGUGAAAGGCGGCUUUGCUGUCACUUAUAGAUGGAUCCGCGCCGUAUUAGCUAGUUGGUAAGGUAACGGCUUACCAAGGCAACGAUACGUAGCCGACCUGAGAGGGUGAUCGGCCACACUGGAACUGAGACACGGUCCAGACUCCUACGGGAGGCAGCAGUAGGGAAUCUUCCGCAAUGGGCGAAAGCCUGACGGAGCAACGCCGCGUGAGUGAUGAAGGUCUUCGGAUCGUAAAACUCUGUUAUCAGGGAAGAACAAAUGUGUAAGUAACUGUGCACAUCUUGACGGUACCUGAUCAGAAAGCCACGGCUAACUACGUGC